Mustela lutreola (European mink) is the source of this 632-nucleotide long non-coding RNA. RefSeq lists it as uncharacterized. The transcript is spliced from 3 exons. NCBI's taxonomy places the organism in Eukaryota, Metazoa, Chordata, Mammalia, Carnivora, Mustelidae. The record is from RefSeq and is a predicted model, not a curated record.
GUGGAGUUUACAAUAAUGGGCACCUGACCUUGGUGGGAAGAAAGGAGAAGAGAACCUGCUUCUGAUACAGAAACCUGGUGCACAAAAAGAGAGGGCUCCUGUUUGUUACCUGUUCUGAUGGCCUCACCAUCAGUGUGGCCAGCCUCCUGCUCCCUCAUCAAAACCACUUGGUGGUGAGCCAGCAAUAACACCAACGACCAGCACCCACUCCGAACCCCACGCUAUAUCAUACAGAUGCUGAGCAGAUAACUCCCAAUACUGAAGAACAGGAGGACGGGGUUAAACACCUUUUCUUAUGGAAGGAUGAAGGGAGAAAGGGCCUCUCCGACACAUUCAGCAACCAGGGAGUUAAGUGUUCUGGGCCAUCUUCCCUACCGUGCAGGUAGUGACAGAGUCAAGGAGGUCACCAUGGAUACAUCUGGCUGCAUCUGCCUGAAUUAUUUGUAUUGAACAGAUUGCUACAGGCUGUUUUUUUUUCCUUCUGGUCUCAUUAUGUGCGUGUAAUGCCAAUUAAAUAACAGGAAUGAAAAUUAAAAAGGAAAAUACCUGCCCCUGCUGGGUUUAAUCUCAUUAGAGCAAAGUCAAAUGAUUAGUCCUAAAAAGGGAUCCAACAGGCAGCAAAGACCACAUUA